GACGAACGCUGGCGGCGUGCCUAAUACAUGCAAGUAGAACGCUGAAACUUGGUGCUUGCACCGAGCGGAUGAGUUGCGAACAGGGGAGUAACGCGUAGGUAACCUGCCUGGUAGCGGGGGAUAACUAUUGGAAACGAUAGCUAAUACCGCAUAAGAGUAGAUGUUGCAUGACAUUUGCUUAAAAGGUGCAAUUGCACCACUACCAGAUGGACCUGCGUUGUAUUAGCUAGUUGGUGGGGUAACGGCUCACCAAGGCGACGAUACAUAGCCGACCUGAGAGGGUGAUCGGCCACACUGGGACUGAGACACGGCCCAGACUCCUACGGGAGGCAGCAGUAGGGAAUCUUCGGCAAUGGACGGAAGUCUGACCGAGCAACGCCGCGUGAGUGAAGAAGGUUUUCGGAUCGUAAAGCUCUGUUGUAAGAGAAGAACGAGUGUGAGAGUGGAAAGUUCACACUGUGACGGUAGCUUACCAGAAAGGGACGGCUAACUACGUG
Molecule: ribosomal RNA, 497 nt
Filed under: uncultured bacterium
Lineage: Bacteria
Description: partial 16S ribosomal RNA
Rfam family: Bacterial small subunit ribosomal RNA
Source: RNAcentral